Molecule: non-coding RNA, 198 nt
Filed under: Chitinibacter fontanus
Lineage: Bacteria; Pseudomonadati; Pseudomonadota; Betaproteobacteria; Neisseriales; Chitinibacteraceae
Description: 6S / SsrS RNA
Rfam family: 6S / SsrS RNA
About the family: E. coli 6S RNA was the first non coding RNA to be sequenced, but its function was unknown until recently. It consists of 184 nucleotides that fold into an extended hairpin structure with a large single-stranded internal bulge.
Source: Rfam by way of RNAcentral
GCUUUCCUGCGGUGUUCGUAACGGCUCAGAUUCUUUGAACCGAUAAGCUGUAUAGCAUGUCCGCCGGGUCUCCCGACGCCUGUUGUGAGCGCUCUCGCUGUUUCGGCAGUUGACGAACGCACCUGAUGGCAUCGACCUGGUGGCAACUUGAACCAUUGGGUUCAAGAUGCGAGUCGGUACGGCAUUCGCGGGAAGCCC